GGUCGGGUUGCUCUGCUGGCAGGGGCCGCUUCGUUCUCAACGAAGACACGACGCGGGUUCGAUUCCCGUCCCGACUA
Molecule: transfer RNA, 77 nt
Filed under: Microbacterium hominis
Lineage: Bacteria; Bacillati; Actinomycetota; Actinomycetes; Micrococcales; Microbacteriaceae
Also listed under: 1 other name
Description: tRNA-Glu
Rfam family: tRNA
About the family: Transfer RNA (tRNA) molecules are approximately 80 nucleotides in length. Their secondary structure includes four short double-helical elements and three loops (D, anti-codon, and T loops). Further hydrogen bonds mediate the characteristic L-shaped molecular structure. tRNAs have two regions of fundamental functional importance: the anti-codon, which is responsible for specific mRNA codon recognition, and the 3' end, to which the tRNAs corresponding amino acid is attached (by aminoacyl-tRNA synthetases). tRNAs cope with the degeneracy of the genetic code in two manners: having more than one tRNA (with a specific anti-codon) for a particular amino acid; and 'wobble' base-pairing, i.e. permitting non-standard base-pairing at the 3rd anti-codon position.
Source: RNAcentral